Molecule: ribosomal RNA, 220 nt
Filed under: uncultured bacterium
Lineage: Bacteria
Description: 16S ribosomal RNA
Rfam family: Bacterial small subunit ribosomal RNA
Source: RNAcentral
GCGGAAUGGAAAGUCAGUGGUGAAAUCCUACAGCUUAACUGUAGAACUGCCUUUGAUACUUUCAUUCUUGAGUUCGGGAGAGAGAGACGGAAUUCCAGGUGUAGUGGUGAAAUACGUAGAUAUCUGGAAGAACACCAGUUGCGAAGGCGGUCUCUUGGUCCGAUACUGACGCUGAGGCGCGAAAGCGUGGGGGAGCAAACAGGAUUAGAAACCCUAGUAG